Molecule: ribosomal RNA, 775 nt
Filed under: uncultured Neocallimastigales
Lineage: Eukaryota; Fungi; Neocallimastigomycota; Neocallimastigomycetes; Neocallimastigales
Description: partial large subunit ribosomal RNA
Rfam family: Eukaryotic large subunit ribosomal RNA
Source: RNAcentral
UACUAGAGUAGCACUCGCAUAUCAAUAAGCGGAGGAAAAGAAACUAACAAGGAUUCCCCUAGUAACGGCGAGUGAAGCGGGAAGAGCUCAAAUUUGAAAUCUUAAAGGGUUUCCCUUUACGAAUUGUAGUUUAAAGAAGUGUUUUCUGUUGAGGUUUUGGUAAAAGUUCUUUGGAAUAGGACAUCAUAGAGGGUGAGAAUCCCGUAUUUGACCUUUACUUUCAACUUUGUGAUACACUUUCAAAGAGUCGGAUUGUUUGGGAAUGCAGUCCAAAAUGGGUGGUAAAUUUCAUCUAAAGCUAAAUAUUGGCGAGAGACCGAUAGCGAACAAGUACCAUGAGGGAAGGAUGAAAAGAACUUUGAAAAGAGAGUUGAACAGUACGUGAAAUUGUCAAAAGGGAAGCGUUUGACACCAGUGUUGUUUUUCUGAAAAUCAAUUAAAGAACUGUUUAUGCUAAGCUUGUUUAGACUUUAUCAGCUAUCUGUUUAGUUUUAGGCUUUUCUUUAAUGCACUUUUCAGUUAACAAGUCAACAUCAAUUUCUUUUGCUGUAAAAAAGCUUGAGGAAGGUGGCUUGAGAUUCGUCUUAAGUGUUUAUAGCCUCUUGCCUAUGCAGUCGGAGAGAUUGAGGUCUGCAGCGUAGAUCCUUCGGGGCUAAAUGCAUUUGUGCUAAGUUAUAGCAUUUUAUAGACAACUUGUUGACUAUGAUUUGUCUUGUAGCUUACUCGCUUAUGUUAUUUUACCUACGCUUAGGAUGUUGAGCGCAUGUCUCUCUCU